This 22-nucleotide non-coding RNA is filed under the name Mus musculus (house mouse). The record is from RNAcentral. Lineage: Eukaryota; Metazoa; Chordata; Mammalia; Rodentia; Muridae.
UCAGUGUGUCCCUGUUUAGUUU